Molecule: long non-coding RNA, 1165 nt
Filed under: Fragaria vesca (wild strawberry)
Lineage: Eukaryota; Viridiplantae; Streptophyta; Magnoliopsida; Rosales; Rosaceae
Description: long non-coding RNA (FVES_LNC003753)
Source: RNAcentral
AGACCGGGACCGGGAGAGGGAGGGAGGGAACGGGAGGAGGCGGAGACGGGAGAGGGAGGGAGGAGGGAGGAGGGAGGAGACCGGGACCGGGAGAGGGAGGGAGGGAGGAGGCUAGGGUUUCGCACUUAAACCCGAAAAAUUUAGUCGGCUAUACAUCAAUUCGUCGGCUAAACCUUCUAAAUUCGUCGGCUAAAACUUUGAAAUUCGUCGGCUAAACUUUAUAAAUUCGUCGGCUAAACCUUUGAAAUUCGUCGGCUAACCUUUGAAAUUCGUCGGCUAAAAGUAUUUUUAUACAUUUGGCACAUUGUGAUUGUAAUGAUCAAACUUGAGAAAAAUAAAUCCGACCGUCAGAUUUGACCAUCAUGAUAAAAUACAUGUAUGGGAAAAAAUUCAACUUGAUCCGACAAGAAUAAGGGCUCGAUCCGGACGGUCAAUCUCGUAAGUCAAACCCCUAAAAGCACGGAAAAGGUCGUUCGACCAUCUAAAUUACGUAUUUUGGCCGGACCUCCAACUGAAAAUAGUUUUAAAUCGAUGACACGCAACAAGUCGUAUAAAAAUUUUACGCAAAAUAACCACCGAAUAUAGGGCUACUCAUAGGGGGAAAGAAUGAAAAAUUGCAUUGACCGCAACUAUCGGCACCGAAUAUUUACCGGAAUAGUGUGAUUUUUCAACCGUAGAUGUAUUUCAACAUUCUCGUCAUAUCUUAUUUCAUGACUUUUUGGCGUUUGAAGGUUUUACGUAUAGUUUGUUUUUGAAACGGAACAUUUACAUAACACUUGGUAAACAAGUUAUACAACAUUAGUAUGCAUGUUGUGAUUGUGAUGAUCAAACUUGAGAAAAAUAAAUCCGACCGUUAGAUCUGACCAUCAUGACAAAAUACAUGUAUGGGAAAAAAUUCAACUUGAUCCGACAAGAAUAGGGGCUCGAUCCGGACGGUCAAUCUCGUAAGUCCAACCCCUAAACGCACGGAAAAGGUCGUUCGACCGUCUAAAUUACGUAUUUUGGCCAGACCUCCAAAUGAAAAUAGUUUCAAACCGAUGAGACGCAAGAAGUAGUCUAAAAAUUUUACGGAAAAUAACAACUGAAGAUAGGGCUAUAGUAGGUAAUAGAAAAAUUUUAGAGUUUAGCCGACGAAUACCCUAACGUAUUCGUCGGCUAUANNNNN